This 253-nucleotide ribosomal RNA is filed under the name uncultured bacterium. RNAcentral describes it as "partial 16S ribosomal RNA". It matches the Rfam family "Bacterial small subunit ribosomal RNA", at positions 524 to 776 of the family's 1533-position model. The record is from RNAcentral.
UACGGGGGGGGUAAGCGUUGUUCGGAAUUACUGGGCGUAAAGGGCUCGUAGGCGGCCAACUAAGUCAUACGUGAAAUCCCUCAGCUUAACUGGGGAACUGCGUGUGAUACUGGAUGGCUUGGAUUUGGGAGAGGGAUGCGGAAUUCCAGGUGUAGCGGUGAAAUGCGCAGAUAUCAGGAGGAACACCAAUUGCGAAGGCAGCUCGCUGGGACGUUACUGACGCUGAGACGCGAAAGCGUGGGGAGCAAACAGG